Long non-coding RNA from Drosophila ananassae, 304 nucleotides. RefSeq lists it as uncharacterized. NCBI's taxonomy places the organism in Eukaryota, Metazoa, Arthropoda, Insecta, Diptera, Drosophilidae. The transcript has 2 exons. The record is from RefSeq and is a predicted model, not a curated record.
GGAGGAGAAAAUUAUUGUGUGAUUUUUUUAUAAGAAUAGAGCGGAUUUUUGUUGCUGGAUGACCCUCGAUGCCCGUGGAUUUGGAGGCACCACCUGGCCCAACCUCGGCAUCCAUCAUAAGCACCAGCAUCACCACCAAGCUUCAGGGAUUAUUUUUGCGACCCGUCGCCGAAAUUCCGCCGGCCACAUCAACCCCUCUGCCUGUGGAGUCUUGGAUCUUUUUUUAUGUAUUUUUUUAUAUAAAAAAAAUUACAAAUAUCACGUAACUACAACUAUUAAAUAUCCCCGCGAGAGAGGACAAAAA